Molecule: ribosomal RNA, 497 nt
Filed under: uncultured bacterium
Lineage: Bacteria
Description: partial 16S ribosomal RNA
Rfam family: Bacterial small subunit ribosomal RNA
Source: RNAcentral
GAUGAACGCUGGCGGCGUGCCUAAUACAUGCAAGUCGAGCGAACAGACGAGGAGCUUGCUCCUCUGACGUUAGCGGCGGACGGGUGAGUAACACGUGGAUAACCUACCUAUAAGACUGGGAUAACUUCGGGAAACCGGAGCUAAUACCGGAUAAUAUUUUGAACCGCAUGGUUCAAUAUUGAAAGACGGUUUUGCUGUCACUUAUAGAUGGAUCCGCGCCGCAUUAGCUAGUUGGUAAGGUAACGGCUUACCAAGGCAACGAUGCGUAGCCGACCUGAGAGGGUGAUCGGCCACACUGGAACUGAGACACGGUCCAGACUCCUACGGGAGGCAGCAGUAGGGAAUCUUCCGCAAUGGGCGAAAGCCUGACGGAGCAACGCCGCGUGAAUGAUGAAGGUCUUCGGAUCGUAAAACUCUGUUAUUAGGGAAGAACAAAUGUGUAAGUAACUAUGCACGUCUUGACGGUACCUAAUCAGAAAGCCACGGCUAACUACGUG